RNAcentral lists this ribosomal RNA (700 nucleotides) under uncultured Gammaproteobacteria bacterium. RNAcentral's name for it is "bacterial SSU rRNA". It matches the Rfam family "Bacterial small subunit ribosomal RNA", at positions 61 to 756 of the family's 1533-position model. Lineage: Bacteria; Pseudomonadati; Pseudomonadota; Gammaproteobacteria. The record is from RNAcentral.
GUCGAGCGGUAACGCGGGAGCAAUCCUGGCGACGAGCGGCGAACGGGUGAGUAACGCUUCGGAAUCUACCUAGUAGUGGGGAAUAACUAACCGAAAGGUUAGCUAAUGCCGCAUACGACCUAUGGGUGAAAGCGGGGGAUCGCAAGACCUCGCGCUAUUAGAUGAGCCGAAGUCGGAUUAGCUAGUUGGUAGGGUAACGGCCUACCAAGGCGACAAUCCGUAGCUGGUCUGAGAGGACGACCAGCCACACUGGGACUGAGACACGGCCCAGACUCCUACGGGAGGCAGCAGUGGGGAAUAUUGGACAAUGGGGGAAACCCUGAUCCAGCGACGCCGCGUGUGUGAAGAAGGCCUGCGGGUUGUAAAGCACUUUUAGUGGGGAUGAAAAGCUCAGGGCUAAUAACCUUGGGUCUUGACCUAACCCAAAGAAAAAGCACCGGCUAACUCUGUGCCAGCAGCCGCGGUAAUACAGAGGGUGCGAGCGUUAAUCGGAAUUACUGGGCGUAAAGCGUGCGUAGACGGUUUCGUAAGUCGGGUGUGGAAUCCCCGGGCUCAACCUGGGAAUUGCAUUCGAGACUGCGAGGCUAGGGUGCGGAAGAGGGAAGCGGAAUUUCCGGUGUAGCGGUGAAAUGCGUAGAUAUCGGAAGGAACAUCAGAGGCGAAAGCGGCUUCCUGGUCCAGCACCGACGUUCAGGCACGA